This 62-nucleotide microRNA precursor is filed under the name Podarcis lilfordi (Lilford's wall lizard). The record is from RNAcentral. Lineage: Eukaryota; Metazoa; Chordata; Lepidosauria; Squamata; Lacertidae.
UAUAUAUAUGUGUGUGUGUGUGUGUAUGUAUACACACACACACACACACACAUAUAUAUAUA